AUGCAAAGGUGUGGACAUUGUCUAAGUAAUUCCUUGAAUUUUUCCCAAGCAUCAAAUAAAGAUUCAUCAUCCCCUGCCUAAAUGAAGUAAUUUUGUUUCUCAUCUU
Molecule: small nucleolar RNA, 106 nt
Organism: Vicia villosa (hairy vetch)
Lineage: Eukaryota; Viridiplantae; Streptophyta; Magnoliopsida; Fabales; Fabaceae
Source: RefSeq, a predicted model, not a curated record